GUGAGAGGGAAGAGCUCAAAUUUGAAAGCUGGUACCUUCGGUAUCCGCGUUGUAACCUCGAGACACGUUUUCCGUGCGGCGCUAUGGACAAGUUCCUUGGAACAGGACAUCGUAGAGGGUGAAAAUCCCGUACUUGCCAUGGAUGUACCGUGCUUUGCGAUACGUGCUCUAAGAGUCGAGUUGUUUGGGAUUGCAGCUCAAAAUGGGUGGUAGACUCCAUCUAAAGCUAAAUAUCGGGGAGAGACCGAUAGCGAACAAGUACCGUGAGGGAAAGAUGAAAAGCACUUUGGAAAGAGAGUUAAAAGUACGUGAAAUUGUCGAAAGGGAAGCGCUUGAAGUCAGCCAUGCCGCUCAGGACUCAGCCUGGCUUUUGCUUGGUGUAUUUCCUGGGUAGCAAGUCAGCAUUGGUUUGGAUCGUCGGAGAAGCAUAGUCGGAAUGUGGCGCCCUCGGGCGUGUUAUAGCCUUCUAUUGGAUACGACGAUCUAGACCAAGGAACGCAGCGCGCCUUAUGGCGGG
Molecule: ribosomal RNA, 517 nt
Filed under: Malassezia furfur
Lineage: Eukaryota; Fungi; Basidiomycota; Malasseziomycetes; Malasseziales; Malasseziaceae
Also listed under: 1 other name
Description: eukaryotic LSU rRNA
Rfam family: Eukaryotic large subunit ribosomal RNA
Source: RNAcentral